CAUGGAGCCGUGCCUGAAGUAUAGGACCACUUUGAUAGAGUGAAAAAUGGAGGUUAAAGUCCUCCCGCCUCC
RNAcentral lists this transfer RNA (72 nucleotides) under Acanthogobius flavimanus (yellowfin goby). Its description in RNAcentral is "tRNA-Ile". It matches the Rfam family "tRNA". Rfam says of the family: Transfer RNA (tRNA) molecules are approximately 80 nucleotides in length. Their secondary structure includes four short double-helical elements and three loops (D, anti-codon, and T loops). The record is from RNAcentral. Lineage: Eukaryota; Metazoa; Chordata; Actinopteri; Gobiiformes; Gobiidae.